UACGAAGGGGGCUAGCGUUGCUCGGAAUCACUGGGCGUAAAGGGCGCGUAGGCGGGCUCUUAAGUCAGGGGUGAAAGCCCAAGGCUCAACCCGGGAACUGCGUCCGAUACUGACAGGCUUGAAUCCGGGAGAGGGAUGUGGAAUUCCAGGUGUAGCGGUGAAAUGCGUAGAUAUCUGGAGGAACACCGGUGGCGAAGGCGGCAUCCUGGACCGGUAUUGACGCUGAUGCGCGAAAGCCAGGGGAGCAAACGGG
Molecule: ribosomal RNA, 253 nt
Filed under: uncultured bacterium
Lineage: Bacteria
Description: partial 16S ribosomal RNA
Rfam family: Bacterial small subunit ribosomal RNA
Source: RNAcentral